RNAcentral lists this ribosomal RNA (279 nucleotides) under Desulfitobacterium enrichment culture. RNAcentral's name for it is "partial 16S ribosomal RNA". It matches the Rfam family "Bacterial small subunit ribosomal RNA", at positions 335 to 605 of the family's 1533-position model. The record is from RNAcentral. Lineage: Bacteria; Bacillati; Bacillota; Clostridia; Eubacteriales; Desulfitobacteriaceae.
ACUCCUACGGAAGGCAGCAGUGGGGAAUCUUCCGCAAUGGACGAAAGUCUGACGGAGCAACGCCGCGUGUACGACGAAGGCCUUCGGGUUGUAAAGUACUGUCUUCAGGGACGAACGGUAAGUAUGUAAAGAAUGUACUUACAUGACGGUACCUGAGGAGGAAGCCCCGGCUAACUACGUGCCAGCAGCCGCGGUAAUACGUAGGGGGCAAGCGUUGUCCGGAAUCAUUGGGCGUAAAGGGCGCGUAGGCGGAUACUUAAGUCUGGUGUGAAAACCUGG